AGAGUUUGAUCCUGGCUCAGAACGAACGCUGGCGGCAGGCUUAACACAUGCAAGUCGAACGCCCCGCAAGGGGAGUGGCAGACGGGUGAGUAACGCGUGGGAAUCUACCGUACCCUACGGAAUAACGCAUGGAAACGUGUGCUAAUACCGUAUACGCCCUACGGGGGAAAGAUUUAUCGGGGUAUGAUGAGCCCGCGUUGGAUUAGCUAGUUGGUGGGGUAAAGGCCUACCAAGGCGACGAUCCAUAGCUGGUCUGAGAGGAUGAUCAGCCACAUUGGGACUGAGACACGGCCCAAACUCCUACGGGAGGCAGCAGUGGGGAAUAUUGGACAAUGGGCGCAAGCCUGAUCCAGCCAUGCCGCGUGAGUGAUGAAGGUCUUAGGAUUGUAAAGCUCUUUCACCGAUGAAGAUAAUGACGGUAGUCGGAGAAGAAGCCCCGGCUAACUUCGUGCCAGCAGCCGCGGUAAUACGAAGGGGGCUAGCGUUGUUCGGAAUUACUGGGCGUAAAGCGCACGUAGGCGGAUAUUUAAGUCAGGGGUGAAAUCCCGCAGCUCAACUGCGGAACUGCCUUUGAUACUGGGUAUCUCGAGUAUGGAAGAGGUGAGUGGAAUUCCGAGUGUAGAGGUGAAAUUCGUAGAUAUUCGGAGGAACACCAGUGGCGAAGGCGGCUCACUGGUCCAUUACUGACGCUGAGGUGCGAAAGCGUGGGGAGCAAACAGGAUUAGAUACCCUGGUAGUCCACGCCGUAAACGA
RNAcentral lists this ribosomal RNA (753 nucleotides) under Rhizobiaceae bacterium KAs5-R14. Its description in RNAcentral is "bacterial SSU rRNA". It matches the Rfam family "Bacterial small subunit ribosomal RNA", at positions 8 to 809 of the family's 1533-position model. The record is from RNAcentral. Lineage: Bacteria; Pseudomonadati; Pseudomonadota; Alphaproteobacteria; Hyphomicrobiales; Rhizobiaceae.